Molecule: long non-coding RNA, 260 nt
Filed under: Homo sapiens (human)
Lineage: Eukaryota; Metazoa; Chordata; Mammalia; Primates; Hominidae
Description: HSALNT0232145
Source: RNAcentral
GAAGAAGGUGCUUGCUUCUCCUUUGCUUUCUGCCAUAAUUGCAAGUUUCCUGAGACCUCCCAGUCAUUCUUCCUGUUAAGCCUUCAGAACUUUUUGGACAUACUUCAAAUUAUACCGACUCUUGGAAUUCACUAACAGCCUUAGGAGAUCAUCUAAUUUCUUAUAUCAAUUUGUCCUUUAAUGACUAUGAGUUUGGGUUGAGCAUGCAAAUACAGUCUACCUCAAUUUCCCUGACAAAAUCAUGCUGAUAGAAAGCCGAA